UUGCACCUGUUGUUUCGACAUCAAACACUUGAACAAAAAAUUAUCAACCUAAUCUUUGAGAGUCUUUUACGUAAAUGUUUACGAUUAUUGAAAAGUAUGAACGUAAUUGCGCAAUUUGUUUCGCUAAAAAUAACACCUUAGCCUGUAAAAAUAUUUUAUGAAAAUGCGAGGAAAAAAACUAACAAUUUCUGAAGAAUAUGAUUGAAGAGAUAAGAUUGAUAAGAUGUCAGUCGUCAAUCAAGGCACUUAUAGAUUUUCCUCUUAGAGUGACAGCACAAGCAAGAUGGAGAAUAAAAUACAAGCUAUGCGCAUAAAAAGAGAUUGCUUGGAUCCUUUUUCUUUUAUUGAAUAUUAACCUUUUGCCUACGACGCCUGACAGCACCUGCUAUUUUGGAUCAUCAGUUGUACCUGCCGUAAGCGAAAUAAGCAGUGUGUUGCUGAAAGUAAAGCUUUUUGUCAAACAUUUUCAAAAUGUGGUGCAGUUGUUGGAUUGCUUAAAUUACAUACAAAUUUCAAUAAAAAUUAUAUGGGUCAUUA
Molecule: long non-coding RNA, 537 nt
Organism: Parasteatoda tepidariorum (common house spider)
Lineage: Eukaryota; Metazoa; Arthropoda; Arachnida; Araneae; Theridiidae
Source: RefSeq, a predicted model, not a curated record